GACGAACGCUGGCGGCGUGCUUAACACAUGCAAGUCGAACGGUAAGGCCCUUCGGGGUACACGAGUGGCGAACGGGUGAGUAACACGUGGGUGAUCUGCCCUGCACUUCGGGAUAAGCCUGGGAAACUGGGUCUAAUGCCGGAUAGGACCACUGCCUGCAUGGGUGGUGGUGGAAAGCUUUUGCGGUGUGGGAUGGGCCCGCGGCCUAUCAGCUUGUUGGUGGGGUGAUGGCCUACCAAGGCGACGACGGGGAGCCGGCCUGAGAGGGUGACCGGCCACACUGGAGAGGGGAUACGGCCCAGAGUCCUACGGGAGGCAGGAGUGGGGAAUAGUGCACAAUGGGCGCAAGCCUGAUGCAGCGACGCCGCGUGAGGGAUGACGGCCUUCGGGUUGUAAACCUCUUUCAGCACCGACGAAGCGCAAGUGACGGUAGGUGCAGAAGAAGGACCGGCCAACUACGUGCCAGCAGCCGCCGUAA
This 478-nucleotide ribosomal RNA is filed under the name uncultured bacterium. Its description in RNAcentral is "partial 16S ribosomal RNA". It matches the Rfam family "Bacterial small subunit ribosomal RNA", at positions 28 to 523 of the family's 1533-position model. The record is from RNAcentral.